RNA transcript from Microtus ochrogaster (prairie vole), 1906 nucleotides. It is a transcript of the gene named chromosome 3 C4orf33 homolog, with no coding region annotated. The record is from RefSeq and is a predicted model, not a curated record. Lineage: Eukaryota; Metazoa; Chordata; Mammalia; Rodentia; Cricetidae.
GGGCUGAGUCCCUGGCUUGGCGCCUUCCGCAGUGCCGUGGCGGGUGCCUGAGUUCCAGAACUCCAAGUCUCUUCCCCUAGAACGUGUGCUGGGUGGAGCCUAGGCCAGAGACCACAGCUGAGCUAGAAGGAAGAGACUCCAUGCCUGUGCUCUUGAUGGAAUUUAAAAUUGAAAACACUUGGGAUGGUUUUCCAGUGAAGCAUGAGCCAGUGUGUAUCAAGCUGAGCCCAGUGGACAAGGGCAUGAAGAUGGAGGUUAGUGCUCCAUUUUUCAAUGAUCCUCCAGCUCCUCUUGGAGAACCAGGAAAGCCUUUCAGUGAACUGUGGAAUUAUGAAGUUGUGGAAGCAUUUUUCUUGAAUGAUACAACUGAGCAGUAUUUAGAAGUUGAACUUUGUCCACAUGGACAACAUUUAGUUCUUUUACUCUCUGGAAGAAGAAAUAUUUGGAAAAAAGAGCUCGAGUUAUCAUUCAAAGUGUUCAGAGGGGAGACCAACUGGGAAGGCAUAGCUCUUCUUCCUUGGAGUUAUUUUCCACCAAAUGUGACAAGAUUCAACUCAUUUGCAAUUCAUGGAUCAAAUGAUAGAAGAAGUUAUGAAGCCCUUUACCCCGUGCCACAGCAUGAACUGCAGCAAGGACAACAGCCUGAUUUCCAUCGUCUAGAAUAUUUCAAGCCUUUCAGUCUUAACAUGCUGCUUGGAGAAGAAUGGAAGCAGCCAGAAUCAGACAUGUGGCUAAAAGAGAGACCUGAUGUGUAGAAGUGGAGUAGAUAACCGAGCACGUCCAUCAUUUCUCCUCUGUGCUUUUAAGAGCUUGCUUUGUAAUAGAUGUGUGAACUUCUGUAUCAUACUUAGACCUUCUCAGCAUCAUUAGCUCAGAGGCCAGACUCACAGACGGUAAAGACACUUUCUUGCCAUCUCUCCUCCCAUUUAAAAAGAAAAGAUUUAUUUGUGUGCAUGUGUGUUUGUUAUUGUUUACAUUCAUGCAGAAGACCAGGAGGACAGAGGAGGACAGAAGAAGCCUAGGGGUCUCCACAACUGGAGUUACAAGCAGUUCUGAGCUGCCUGACGACAUGGGUGUUGGGAAUUGAACUCAGGUCUUUUACAAGAGCAGCGUGAGUUUUUAACCCUUUUCCAUCCCUCCAGACCCUCUCCUCUUCUUUAGUAACAGAAGUUGAAUUUUUAGAGGCUUUUCUUAGAAAUGUUAUUUACUCAGAACAAUCCACCUCUAUUUCUCCAGAUUCUUUUGUAGGUAAUAUGGCCAUGGAAUGGUUUGUGUCAGUGAGAUGUACAAUAUACGUGAUACAUGUCAUGUGCUGUAUAAAAUUCUGAUUAGUAGCAGACUGCUGGUACUGCUUCCAUAAAGUUCUAAUUGAGCCGAAAUGUGAUACUUUCUAGUGAUUACAUAGCCAUUGUAAUAUUAAUGGCACAGUACUAUAUGUUUGUGUUGAUGUUUAUAUAAAGAAACCAGAACAUCAUCCCUGCAUCCACUGGCGCUGCCAAGGCUGUGGGCAAAGUCAUCCCAGAGCUGAACAGGAAGCUCAUGGGCAUGGCCUUCCGCGUUCCUACCCCCAAUGUGUCCGUCGUGGAUCUGACAUGCCGCCUGGAGAAAGCUGCCAAGUAUGAUGACAUCAAGAAGGUGGUAAAGCAGGCAUCGGAGGGCCCACUAAAGGGCAUCCUGGGCUACACUGAGGACCAGGUCGUCUCCUGUGACUUUAACAGUGACUCUCACUCUUCCACCUUCGAUGCUGGGGCUGGCAUUGCUCUCAAUGACAACUUUGUAAAGCUCAUUUCCUGGUAUGACAAUGAAUUCGGCUACAGCAACAGAGUGGUGGACCUCAUGGCCUACAUGGCCUCCAAGGAGUAAGAAGCUCGCCCUGGACCACCCAUCCCAGCAAGGACACAGCAAG